Molecule: ribosomal RNA, 206 nt
Filed under: uncultured bacterium
Lineage: Bacteria
Description: partial 16S ribosomal RNA
Rfam family: Bacterial small subunit ribosomal RNA
Source: RNAcentral
AGCGCAGGUGGUUGUAUAAGUCUGAAGUAAAAGGCAGUGGCUCAACCAUUGUGUGCUUUGGAAACUGUACAACUUGAGUGCAGAAGGGGAGAGUGGAAUUCCAGGUGUAGCGGUGAAAUGCGUAGAGAUCUGGAGGAAUACCGGUGGCGAAGGCGGCCCCCUCGGACAAAGGCUGACGCUCAGGUGCGAAAGCGUGGGAGCAAACA